RNAcentral lists this ribosomal RNA (252 nucleotides) under uncultured bacterium. RNAcentral describes it as "partial 16S ribosomal RNA". It matches the Rfam family "Bacterial small subunit ribosomal RNA", at positions 524 to 776 of the family's 1533-position model. The record is from RNAcentral.
UACGAAGGGGGCUAGCGUUGCUCGGAUUGACUGGGCGUAAAGGGCGCGUAGGCGGUUCGUACAGUCAGACGUGAAAUUCCUGGGCUCAACCUGGGGGCUGCGUUUGAUACGUGCGGACUUGAGUGCGGAAGAGGGUCGUGGAAUUCCCAGUGUAGAGGUGAAAUUCGUAGAUAUUGGGAAGAACACCGGUGGCGAAGGCGGCUCACUGGCUCAUUACUGAGCUCAGGCGCGACAGCGUGGGGAUCAAACAGG